GCGGACAGGUAAGGGUGGGUGGAAGGAACGCCGCUGGCUUGUCGUUGUUCACACCGCGCUGGAGAAAGAGGAGAGGGAUGUGCGGGGCCAGAUGGGAGCGCCGCUGGCUCGUCAUCGUUCACACCGCACUGGGCCAGAGAUGCUUCUGUACAGCCCUCACGUCUGUAGGUCCCUCCUUCAUUCCUGUUGCUUCCCUCUUUUGAUUAGCUGUAACUGCAUGUUUGGGUCAGUGAUAUGCCUGUUGCCGCUGGGCAGUACUUUAGGCAAGCCAACCAUCCAAUUUAGUCUCUAUUAGCACAAGGAGAAGUGCCCCUGUUGGCUUUUCUUUUUGUGGAUUAGAACAAUAAUCUACAUUAGUCGAUUUGUGGGUAUGUUGAAUAUGAUAUUUAAUGAAGAUGGUCAUUCUUGUUGUUCAGAGUACACAAGUGGUUGCCCAUGAGGCCUCCUCCUGCUCGGCUUAUUCAUUGAGGUAGGAUUUUGAUUGUCUCAAUUUGUCGCUUCAGUUCCACAUUAACCAUGAAUUGUUGCGUGUAAAUGCUCAUAUCCCGUUAAGUUCAUGUGUAUAAAUCAAGUGGGUUGAAGUGUGUUGUGAAUUUCCUGAAGAAAUUCACAUGCAUGGUGUGGAUUGUUGAGUUUGCUUGGUUAACAGAAUGCCAUGCCUAUGUAGAUUGGCAGGGGGAAGGUCCAGGGUGAAACCUUCAGGAGGGAUUUGAUGUUGAUAUUGUUUCAGUUUGUAGAUGGAGGAUGUGAUUCCAGCAAGACAGAGACGAUGGCGAUGACAAGUGAGAUUUAUGUUAAGGAGUAUUAGCAUAUGCUCACAGGAUCACUGGAAGCUUAUAAAGGUAUCUACAAUGAUUGUUGCUUUCUUAUCGACACAUCAUCGAAUUAUAAUUAUUGGCAGUAAGAGUACUUGUCUUUUCAUUUGUUAGAAAACAUAGUGUACCUUUAUAAUCAUAAUUAUAUGCAAUGAUCCAUCAUGUAUUUUUGUUUAAAACCGCAACCCGUAAUUGUUUGAUGUCAUGAAAUGUCUAUAUAUAUUUUUGUUUACAUUCUUAAAUUAGCCUCCAUACUAUCUGCAUUGUCAUGGUAACCUUGGUAGGUCAUAAUAUGUAGAUCGAUAAUCCCGGUUCAAUUUGAGCUUUCCAUGUGAUUUUUUACCUGAAUUUUAGGAUCACAAUUUAACUUAACUUAAAUUAGCUGUAUAGUGCCAAUGGGCAUCAUCUGAAGCUAAUAAGAUGUUGUUUAUUGAAGAACAACCCUUGCUACUUGCACAGUACGUGAAAAGCACACUAAAUAGAUUAAAGAAAUCAUACAUGACUGUGAUUGCAUUUGGUUGACGCUUACGUGUAUUUCUCAUGGGUAGACCAAGGGCGUAAUGAUCUAUAUUUCAGGUCCAAGCUUUCAAUGCAUUUUUUAUCUAUUUUUCAUGUCCCAAUGAUCAUCUGCAAGGCCGAAUUAUGCCAUUGUUGAUGGUGCACAUGUAUGUUGCAUGGUAAACCCAGUAUUGGCCCUCCUUUCAAGCUCCUUUGUUCAUCCUAGAGAAAAUCCUGGAAAAUACGUCGGAACUAUCUUUUAAUCUUCCAAUAGUGUAUUGCUACGAUUAUAUAUAUGGAUACAUCAUAUCGAUGUGUCUAGAGACCUAAAGCCGAGUUAAGUGCCAAACUGGGGACUGAUGUUAUAACUGCAGAUGGGCUUUAUUCAGCUUUUUUUCUUGCCUAGAAUGAUGAUGUUUGCAGAUGGGCUUUGUUCAGCCAUAAGAGCUUAUCGGUUCAUCCUGCAUACUUUUGUUUCUUCAGUGUAUUGUGUCUGAGGAAAACAUUUAUUUUGUUUCCUGUUUAAGUGAAUUCAUGGCUGAGAUGGACGAAUUUCUAUUGUGUGGGCUGGAGGUUCUUUAGUUAGGGCACUAGCACUACCUAAGCUUCCAUUCUGGUAAAAUGUAUGACAUGCCUGAUGAGCAUGCAUAUCUAUAUGGUUUUGUGGACACCGAUUUAGUUCCACGCCAGUUUAUUUCCAGCAGUUGGUCUGCUUCUUCAUAGAGAUUUUAUUAGUACUACAUUAAAUUAGAAAUUGAAUGUGUGCUUCUUUCACCUUCAGUCUGAACAUGACAUUGCCUUAUUUGUGACAUAGGUGGAAAUUAGCAAGCAAGCUACAGUUGAUGCAUGGAUGACCAAGUUUACUUAUUACUUUAUGAAGAUGAUGAUUCCUGCAUGUUGAUUGUGCUUCAAGGUACAGCUAUUCGUACCUUACAAAAUUAUAAUGCUUUUAUCCUAGGACCAAAAGUUUGAUUCAUAGAUAGCCGAAGAACUGAGGUUUUUUACUCUCUGUCGUUGCAAGGUCGAAGAGGAUGGGAGGAGGGGAAGUGCGCUCUAUAUUUUGUUAUGCACACCUUUCUAAACUAUACUUGUCUUCUUAACACAUGUUCAUUGUCCAGUAGAAGCUGUAGAUUUCAGCGUACAAUAAUUUCCAAAACGGUAGAAGGUAAGAACCAUGUUACACAUGAUCCUUUUGUGUUUUCUUGAUUUAAAGUAGCAUGUACCUGUUAAACUUGGAGAUGAUUUUCGUGGUGUAUUUAUAAAUUAUCAGCCAAGGUUAUUCCUUCAGGCAAUUUUUUCUUCCCUGAAGCCUAGGCAUAUUGGUUGGUUGGUUGGCUCUAUUUACUAGCACGAAGAUAACUACUAUGUGUUGCUUAGUUAUUAGCGGAUCGAGUGUAUGAAUGAUCUUAUGUUCACCCAGACUUAUAAGUUUCUAAAUACUAGGCUCUUGGGACUUAUUUCUAAGGGUUAGUUUUUUUCUGGAUUCAUGUACUCUGGUGCUACAACCUAGGUAAAGCUCCUUCACAAUAGUGUUUUAAGCUUAAAUUGAUAACUCAAUCAAAGUUAAAGCAUUAGGCUCUCUGCUCUGUGUACGGCCCAAGUGUUCUACAUAAUGCUUUAUAUAGUCCCAAUGUGACUUCUUUGUUUUCUUAGCGGUCGGUGAUAUUUAAUAUUCAGUCAGAUCUUGGAGGAAAUGAAAAAUAUGCGAGUGUGUGUGCAUGUGUAUGUGUGCGUGUGUGCAUGCACACGCGCGUGUGUGUGUUUGUUUUCUCCUGUUUUGGUUUUAGUGCAGUAGCUGAAAGUUUAUGUAUAGUCAAAUUUAAUUGACUAACUGGAGGGUUCAUAUAUCUGUAUGAAAAUAAGCUAAUACAAACGCAAAAUUGUUGAAUGCAUUAAUCUUCGUUCAGUGUGUGACCCAUAGUUAAUGCACAUUCUUGCAUUAGAAAGAAAAUGGAUAACCUUCUGAAAUGCUGAACUUCCUAGAACUUCUCUUUUCAUAAGAAAAUAAACUGUCGAUGAUGUGAAUAGAAGCACCUGUAGUACCACUGACCUUUGGCAACCUACGUGUCGUGCCUCCAAGGCAGGCCAUGAGUGAUGGCUGCCGUGAUGUCAGCCUUGCAAAAAAAAGGGCUUUGUUGACUGAUGGCUAGCUAUAGUUUGUGUUUGUUGUUUACAUGACAGUUUUUUAACCAUUUGACCUAUCUUUUAUAGACGGUAUAGUUCACAAAAACUAAACUUUUGAUAGAAAGUACAUGGGUUUAUAGUAGACCAUUCUAGACCAUAUCUCUUGAAUACAUAGUUUAUAAUAUUUUCUGGUUUUAAAUACUCCCUCUGUCCCAAAAUUCUUGUCUUAGAUUUGUCUAGAUACGGAUGAAUCAAGUCACAUUUUAGUAUUAGAUACAUCCGAAUCUAGACAAAUAUAAGACAAGAAUUUUGGGAGGGAGGGAGUAUAUGAGAGUGCCCAUCUUACUUAGUGGCAAUGCUAUGCUUCAGAGUAUACAAUGUUUUGCAUACCAGUAUAAUUCAUAAGUGGUUUUUCGUAUUCAGGUGUUACUAAUAUGGUGAGUGAUUUAAGGGGAGGCAUGGGGAGAAGAGCAGUCCAAAUGGUGGAUGGAGCAUGUGACCUGUUGAUGUUAGUUUCCAUUUUCGGAAAGAACAAAUUUUCUAUAAUUUGAGUGUAUGGUGAUGUGUUAAAGUCAAUCAUUUGGAUUCCCAACUAGACCAUUGUGUGUGUUCUUUAUUUUAUUGUGCAUUGAUAAAAUAUUUCAGUGCCCGUGUGCACCAAGUUGAAUUUUGAAACAGAUGAGGGGACAACACUGCAUAAGGGAGUUUACCCUUCAGGAAUGUUCUUGUUUGCUGCUGUGAUUAAUAGUAGGAAAUUUUAUACCUAUAGCAGAACAG
RNAcentral lists this long non-coding RNA (4214 nucleotides) under Triticum aestivum (bread wheat). RNAcentral's name for it is "long non-coding RNA (TAES_LNC018741)". The stretch from base 3633 to 3767 matches the Rfam family "MIR1120/MIR1122 microRNA precursor family". The record is from RNAcentral. Lineage: Eukaryota; Viridiplantae; Streptophyta; Magnoliopsida; Poales; Poaceae.